RNAcentral lists this ribosomal RNA (2898 nucleotides) under Escherichia coli STEC_S1191. Its description in RNAcentral is "bacterial LSU rRNA". It matches the Rfam family "Bacterial large subunit ribosomal RNA". The record is from RNAcentral. Lineage: Bacteria; Pseudomonadati; Pseudomonadota; Gammaproteobacteria; Enterobacterales; Enterobacteriaceae.
UUAAGCGACUAAGCGUACACGGUGGAUGCCCUGGCAGUCAGAGGCGAUGAAGGACGUGCUAAUCUGCGAUAAGCGUCGGUAAGGUGAUAUGAACCGUUAUAACCGGCGAUUUCCGAAUGGGGAAACCCAGUGUGUUUCGACACACUAUCAUUAACUGAAUCCAUAGGUUAAUGAGGCGAACCGGGGGAACUGAAACAUCUAAGUACCCCGAGGAAAAGAAAUCAACCGAGAUUCCCCCAGUAGCGGCGAGCGAACGGGGAGCAGCCCAGAGCCUGAAUCAGUGUGUGUUAGUGGAAGCGUCUGGAAAGGCGCGCGAUACAGGGUGACAGCCCCGUACACAAAAAUGCACAUGCUGUGAGCUCGAUGAGUAGGGCGAGACACGUGGUAUCCUGUCUGAAUAUGGGGGGACCAUCCUCCAAGGCUAAAUACUCCUGACUGACCGAUAGUGAACCAGUACCGUGAGGGAAAGGCGAAAAGAACCCCGGCGAGGGGAGUGAAAAAGAACCUGAAACCGUGUACGUACAAGCAGUGGGAGCACGCUUAGGCGUGUGACUGCGUACCUUUUGUAUAAUGGGUCAGCGACUUAUAUUCUGUAGCAAGGUUAACCGAAUAGGGGAGCCGAAGGGAAACCGAGUCUUAACUGGGCGUUAAGUUGCAGGGUAUAGACCCGAAACCCGGUGAUCUAGCCAUGGGCAGGUUGAAGGUUGGGUAACACUAACUGGAGGACCGAACCGACUAAUGUUGAAAAAUUAGCGGAUGACUUGUGGCUGGGGGUGAAAGGCCAAUCAAACCGGGAGAUAGCUGGUUCUCCCCGAAAGCUAUUUAGGUAGCGCCUCGUGAAUUCAUCUCCGGGGGUAGAGCACUGUUUCGGCAAGGGGGUCAUCCCGACUUACCAACCCGAUGCAAACUGCGAAUACCGGAGAAUGUUAUCACGGGAGACACACGGCGGGUGCUAACGUCCGUCGUGAAGAGGGAAACAACCCAGACCGCCAGCUAAGGUCCCAAAGUCAUGGUUAAGUGGGAAACGAUGUGGGAAGGCCCAGACAGCCAGGAUGUUGGCUUAGAAGCAGCCAUCAUUUAAAGAAAGCGUAAUAGCUCACUGGUCGAGUCGGCCUGCGCGGAAGAUGUAACGGGGCUAAACCAUGCACCGAAGCUGCGGCAGCGACACUAUGUGUUGUUGGGUAGGGGAGCGUUCUGUAAGCCUGUGAAGGUGUGCUGUGAGGCAUGCUGGAGGUAUCAGAAGUGCGAAUGCUGACAUAAGUAACGAUAAAGCGGGUGAAAAGCCCGCUCGCCGGAAGACCAAGGGUUCCUGUCCAACGUUAAUCGGGGCAGGGUGAGUCGACCCCUAAGGCGAGGCCGAAAGGCGUAGUCGAUGGGAAACAGGUUAAUAUUCCUGUACUUGGUGUUACUGCGAAGGGGGGACGGAGAAGGCUAUGUUGGCCGGGCGACGGUUGUCCCGGUUUAAGCGUGUAGGCUGGUUUUCCAGGCAAAUCCGGAAAAUCAAGGCUGAGGCGUGAUGACGAGGCACUACGGUGCUGAAGCAACAAAUGCCCUGCUUCCAGGAAAAGCCUCUAAGCAUCAGGUAACAUCAAAUCGUACCCAAACCGACACAGGUGGUCAGGUAGAGAAUACCAAGGCGCUUGAGAGAACUCGGGUGAAGGAACUAGGCAAAAUGGUGCCGUAACUUCGGGAGAAGGCACGCUGAUAUGUAGGUGAAGUCCCUUGCGGAUGGAGCUGAAAUCAGUCGAAGAUACCAGCUGGCUGCAACUGUUUAUUAAAAACACAGCACUGUGCAAACACGAAAGUGGACGUAUACGGUGUGACGCCUGCCCGGUGCCGGAAGGUUAAUUGAUGGGGUCAGCGCAAGCGAAGCUCUUGAUCGAAGCCCCGGUAAACGGCGGCCGUAACUAUAACGGUCCUAAGGUAGCGAAAUUCCUUGUCGGGUAAGUUCCGACCUGCACGAAUGGCGUAAUGAUGGCCAGGCUGUCUCCACCCGAGACUCAGUGAAAUUGAACUCGCUGUGAAGAUGCAGUGUACCCGCGGCAAGACGGAAAGACCCCGUGAACCUUUACUAUAGCUUGACACUGAACAUUGAGCCUUGAUGUGUAGGAUAGGUGGGAGGCUUUGAAGUGUGGACGCCAGUCUGCAUGGAGCCGACCUUGAAAUACCACCCUUUAAUGUUUGAUGUUCUAACGUGGACCCGUGAUCCGGGUUGCGGACAGUGUCUGGUGGGUAGUUUGACUGGGGCGGUCUCCUCCUAAAGAGUAACGGAGGAGCACGAAGGUUGGCUAAUCCUGGUCGGACAUCAGGAGGUUAGUGCAAUGGCAUAAGCCAGCUUGACUGCGAGCGUGACGGCGCGAGCAGGUGCGAAAGCAGGUCAUAGUGAUCCGGUGGUUCUGAAUGGAAGGGCCAUCGCUCAACGGAUAAAAGGUACUCCGGGGAUAACAGGCUGAUACCGCCCAAGAGUUCAUAUCGACGGCGGUGUUUGGCACCUCGAUGUCGGCUCAUCACAUCCUGGGGCUGAAGUAGGUCCCAAGGGUAUGGCUGUUCGCCAUUUAAAGUGGUACGCGAGCUGGGUUUAGAACGUCGUGAGACAGUUCGGUCCCUAUCUGCCGUGGGCGCUGGAGAACUGAGGGGGGCUGCUCCUAGUACGAGAGGACCGGAGUGGACGCAUCACUGGUGUUCGGGUUGUCAUGCCAAUGGCACUGCCCGGUAGCUAAAUGCGGAAGAGAUAAGUGCUGAAAGCAUCUAAGCACGAAACUUGCCCCGAGAUGAGUUCUCCCUGACUCCUUGAGAGUCCUGAAGGAACGUUGAAGACGACGACGUUGAUAGGCCGGGUGUGUAAGCGCAGCGAUGCGUUGAGCUAACCGGUACUAAUGAACCGUGAGGCUUAACCUU